Molecule: ribosomal RNA, 644 nt
Filed under: Pseudomonas sp. ZK-22
Lineage: Bacteria; Pseudomonadati; Pseudomonadota; Gammaproteobacteria; Pseudomonadales; Pseudomonadaceae
Description: bacterial SSU rRNA
Rfam family: Bacterial small subunit ribosomal RNA
Source: RNAcentral
GNGGCUANACUGCAGUCGAGCGGUAGAGAGAAAGCUUGCUUCUCUUGAGAGCGGCGGACGGGUGAGUAAUGCCUAGGAAUCUGCCUGGUAGUGGGGGAUAACGUCCGGAAACGGACGCUAAUACCGCAUACGUCCUACGGGAGAAAGCAGGGGACCUUCGGGCCUUGCGCUAUCAGAUGAGCCUAGGUCGGAUUAGCUAGUUGGUGAGGUAAUGGCUCACCAAGGCGACGAUCCGUAACUGGUCUGAGAGGAUGAUCAGUCACACUGGAACUGAGACACGGUCCAGACUCCUACGGGAGGCAGCAGUGGGGAAUAUUGGACAAUGGGCGAAAGCCUGAUCCAGCCAUGCCGCGUGUGUGAAGAAGGUCUUCGGAUUGUAAAGCACUUUAAGUUGGGAGGAAGGGUACUUACCUAAUACGUGAGUAUUUUGACGUUACCGACAGAAUAAGCACCGGCUAACUCUGUGCCAGCAGCCGCGGUAAUACAGAGGGUGCAAGCGUUAAUCGGAAUUACUGGGCGUAAAGCGCGCGUAGGUGGUUCGUUAAGUUGGAUGUGAAAUCCCCGGGCUCAACCUGGGAACUGCAUCCAAAACUGGCGAGCUAGAGUAUGGUAGAGGGUGGUGGAAUUUCCUGUGUAGCGGUNAA